This 239-nucleotide long non-coding RNA is filed under the name Capsicum annuum. RNAcentral's name for it is "long non-coding RNA (CANN_LNC016322)". Lineage: Eukaryota; Viridiplantae; Streptophyta; Magnoliopsida; Solanales; Solanaceae. The record is from RNAcentral.
GGAAAGCUUGCUUUGCGUACUUUCGUGUAAGGAUGUUUCAAUCAUACACCAAUUGAGGGAGGAAUUGAAUCGAGCCAGGCAAGAAGUUGAUCGAUUUGAACAGUUUCAUAAUCUACGGCACAAUUAUAUGAAAAUUGCUUGAUCAUCGAUAGAUGUCGCUAAUUACAAGAAAUGGACAAAGCUAAGAGGGGAAGGACGAUAGAAGAACAUCUAGGAAUUAGUAUUCCCUAUUACCUGUG